GAUGAACGCUGGCGGCGUGCCUAAUACAUGCAAGUCGAGCGAACAGACGAGGAGCUAGCUCCUCUGACGUUAGCGGCGGACGGGUGAGUAACACGUGGAUAACCUACCUAUAAGACUGGGAUAACUUCGGGAAACCGGAGCUAAUACCGGAUAAUAUAUUGAACCGCAUGGUUCAAUAGUGAAAGACGGUUUUGCUGUCACUUAUAGAUGGAUCCGCGCCGCAUUAGCUAGUUGGUAAGGUAACGGCUUACCAAGGCAACGACGCGUAGCCGACCUGAGAGGGUGAUCGGCCACACUGGAACUGAGACACGGUCCAGACUCCUACGGGAGGCAGCAGUAGGGAAUCUUCCGCAAUGGGCGAAAGCCUGACGGAGCAACGCCGCGUGAGUGAUGAAGGUCUUCGGAUCGUAAAACUCUGUUAUUAGGGAAGAACAAAUGUGUAAGUAACUAUGCACGUCUUGACGGUACCUAAUCAGAAAGCCACGGCUAACUACGU
RNAcentral lists this ribosomal RNA (496 nucleotides) under uncultured bacterium. Its description in RNAcentral is "partial 16S ribosomal RNA". It matches the Rfam family "Bacterial small subunit ribosomal RNA", at positions 28 to 506 of the family's 1533-position model. The record is from RNAcentral.